RNAcentral lists this long non-coding RNA (305 nucleotides) under Arachis ipaensis. RNAcentral's name for it is "long non-coding RNA (AIPA_LNC001402)". The record is from RNAcentral. Lineage: Eukaryota; Viridiplantae; Streptophyta; Magnoliopsida; Fabales; Fabaceae.
UAUGUGUAAAAUUUUUGUUCCAUUAAACAGCCCAACAAAAAGAGGUUCCGUAGAUGAUUAACUUUGUUAACCUGGAAAAAAAAUGAUGAUUGGUUAUAUACACAGUUAUAUUUGGUUACAUAUGUGUAUGUACAAAAUUUUUGUUCCUAUUAACAAGGCCCAUUAUAUAAUUAUUGAAGAAAAGAGAUUGACUUUGUGUGCAUGUAUGGUUAAUUAAAAAGCCCAACAAAAACAAAGCCUAUUGAUUGACUAUGUUCACCUAAAAAAAAAAAUUGACUUUUUCCACUUGUAGGCUUAUGUUGGAG